RNAcentral lists this ribosomal RNA (460 nucleotides) under uncultured bacterium. RNAcentral describes it as "partial 16S ribosomal RNA". It matches the Rfam family "Bacterial small subunit ribosomal RNA", at positions 338 to 795 of the family's 1533-position model. The record is from RNAcentral.
CCUACGGGCGGCAGCAGUGAGGAAUAUUGGUCAAUGGGCGCAAGCCUGAACCAGCCAAGUAGCGUGAAGGAUGACUGCUCUAUGGGUUGUAAAUUUCUUUUAUAAAGGAAUAAAGUGAGGCACGUGAGCCUUUGUGUAUGUACUUUAUGAAUAAGGAUCGGCUAACUCCGUGCCAGCUGCCGCGGUAAUACGGAGGAUCCGUGCGUUAUCCGGAUUUAUUGGGUUUAAAGGGGGCGUAGAUGGGUUUUUAAGUCAGUUGUGAAAGUUUGCGGCUCAACCGUAAAAUUGCAUUUGAUACUGGCAGCCUUGAGUACAGUUGAGGUAGGCGGAAUUCGUGGUGUAGCGGUGAAAUGCGUAGAUAUCACGAAGAACUCCGAUUGCGAAGGCAGCCUACUAAACUGCCACUGACGUUGAUGCUCGAAAGUGUGGGUAUCAAACAGGAUUAGAUACCCUUGUAGUC